UUUUUUUUGCCAAGAAAAGGAAGAGAACACGGAUCCAGCUCCUCUUUGCCUUCAGCAGCUUAAGUCUGCGUGUGCUUAAGGUGUGUCGAGUAAGAAGUUUGGAGAAGAUAACCCGGGGGAGGAUUUGAUUCGUCGCUGUUCUUAGGGCCUUGGUAGAGGUUCUUAUUGAAUAAGAAGAAAGCUCAUCAGGUCGUUUGGAGGUGGGGUGGUUCGAAGGAGAUGAACUUUAUGGGGGUGGGUCGUUCUUUGAAAAGCUGCGCUAAUGCUCUUUUUUCCAGAAUCUUGUGUGUUAUUUCGUGUCCUCCAUUGGAAGAAGAUGAAGUUUUUGUUGGGGAAUCUCUUGUGAUGAAAACGGCUCAGUUUUUUUUUUUUUUUUAAUUUUUCAGCCCAGGCGUUAAUUUUUGUC
Molecule: long non-coding RNA, 406 nt
Filed under: Nicotiana benthamiana
Lineage: Eukaryota; Viridiplantae; Streptophyta; Magnoliopsida; Solanales; Solanaceae
Description: long non-coding RNA (NBEN_LNC030933)
Source: RNAcentral